CCUACGGGUGGCAGCAGUGGGGAAUAUUGGGCAAUGGGCGCAAGCCUGACCCAGCAACGCCGCGUGAAGGAAGACUGCUUUCGGGUUGUAAACCUCUUUUAAGAGGGACGAGCAGAAGACGGUAACUCUUGAAUAAUCUACGGCUAACUCCGUGCCCACAGCCGCGGUAAUACGAGGGUGGCAAGGGUUGUCCGGCUUUCCUGGGUUUAAGGGGCGUGCUGCCGGGAAGAAAAGUCAGAUGUGAAAUCCCGCGGCUCAACCGCGGAACUGCAUUUGAAACUGUUUUUCUUGAGAACCGUGGAGGGCAUCGGAAUUCCUGGUGUAGCGGUGAAAUGCGUAGAUAUAAGGAAGAACACCAGUGGCGAAGGCGGAUGACUGGACGGCAACUGACGGUGAGGCGCGAAAGCGUGGGGAGCAAACAGGAUUAGAUACCCAGUAGUC
Molecule: ribosomal RNA, 441 nt
Filed under: uncultured bacterium
Lineage: Bacteria
Description: partial 16S ribosomal RNA
Rfam family: Bacterial small subunit ribosomal RNA
Source: RNAcentral